Molecule: long non-coding RNA, 794 nt
Filed under: Gadus morhua (Atlantic cod)
Lineage: Eukaryota; Metazoa; Chordata; Actinopteri; Gadiformes; Gadidae
Description: lncRNA (ENSGMOG00000034820.1)
Source: RNAcentral
CUGAAUAAUACAGUUGGUUUGCUUUGUUUGAUACAACCGCAAUGAAUGCCGGGAAAAGCCCGCGAAUUCAAAUGAAACAAUGAACAGAGAGGCAGAGAAAUCCGUGUAUGGUUCGUUCAUUGAAUAUACAUCCGUCAAUGUUUGGAUUGUGUAAUAAUAAUUUGCAUUGUAUCUUUGAAUAAUGGCUAGCCUAGCGAUCAUCUACGUUCAAUGUUCAUCUAUGUUCAGUUCUUUCUUUGCCGUUGGGCUCACGAGCCGAUCAGUUGAUCGGAACAGCGAAUGUUUGGGAACUGUAGUUCUCUAGUAGUUAAGCGGAACUGGCGGCCGUUUAAUUCAAAAUACAUUUCCCUACAUGCAUCGCGUUGAGCUCAUGAGCCGAACAGCUGAUUUGAGAAGGAGAUGAAAGAUCUAGUGAAACGGAAGGUUUAAUUGUAGUGUUUAUUAUUUUCAACAGAAUAAUGACUGGCAUUCGUAGGUCCCCGGCGGACUUUGCAUCGUCCGGUCAUCCGGAUACGAUUGCUUUGAGGGAUCUGGCCUCCAAGAACUAUCACAUUUGUGUAGAUGACGUCUACACAAAAGAGCAGAAGAUGCCGAGAAGGCGAAGCACACCGAGAAUGUGCACAGGCAGCAGCUGGAGUGCCUACGGAGGGAGAACGAACGACUUGGACAGGAUCUCAGGACAUCCCAGGCCAGCUUGUCUGUUACGCAAACAGAUCUGGACGCCACACAGAACGAACUCGAUGACCUCCGCUGCACGAACGCCUCCCAAGAACUGGACUACCUGGACAGCAUGA